GCCAGACGUGGUGGCGCAUGUCUGUAAUCCCAGCUACUUGGGAGGCUGAGGCCUGAGAAUUGCUUGAGCCUAGGAGUUCGAGGCUGCAGUGAGCUCUCGUGGGACCACUGCACUUCAGCCUGGGCAACAGAGUGAGACCCCAUCUCAA
Molecule: unclassified non-coding RNA, 148 nt
Organism: Pongo abelii (Sumatran orangutan)
Lineage: Eukaryota; Metazoa; Chordata; Mammalia; Primates; Hominidae
Rfam family: Metazoan signal recognition particle RNA
About the family: The signal recognition particle (SRP) is a universally conserved ribonucleoprotein.
Source: Ensembl